UACAGAGGUCUCAAGCGUUGUUCGGAUUCAUUGGGCGUAAAGGGUGCGUAGGCGGUGGGGCAAGUCAGGUGUGAAAUCCCGGAGCUCAACUCCGGAACUGCACUUGAUACUGCUUUACUAGAGUACUGGAGAGGAGACUGGAAUUUACGGUGUAGCAGUGAAAUGCGUAGAUAUCGUAAGGAAUACCGAUGGCGAAGGCAGGUCUCUGGGCUGACACUGACGCUCAUGCACGAAAGCGUGGGGAGCAAACAGG
This 253-nucleotide ribosomal RNA is filed under the name uncultured bacterium. RNAcentral's name for it is "partial 16S ribosomal RNA". It matches the Rfam family "Bacterial small subunit ribosomal RNA", at positions 524 to 776 of the family's 1533-position model. The record is from RNAcentral.